RNAcentral lists this long non-coding RNA (1092 nucleotides) under Anolis carolinensis (green anole). RNAcentral's name for it is "lncRNA (ENSACAG00000043972.1)". Lineage: Eukaryota; Metazoa; Chordata; Lepidosauria; Squamata; Anolidae. The record is from RNAcentral.
AUGGGGAGCCCUCUUAACCCAGUAGUAGCAAAUUUCUAUAUGGAACACUUUGAAAAACAAUCCCUAGAAACAGCGCCAAAAAAGCCAACUGUAUGGUUCAGAUAUGUUGAUGACACCUUCACCAUUUGGAGCCAUGGGGAACUCAGCAAGUUCCUGGACCAUCUUAACAGCAUCCACCCAAACAUCCAAUUCACCAUGGAAAAAGAAAAGGAAGGAAAACUGCCAUUUCUAGAUGUUCUGGUCAUCCGCAAACCCAAUCAACAAUUGGGCCACACAGUUUACAGAAAACCUACACAUACAGAUAGAUACCUUCAUAAAAACUCCAACCAUCACCCAAGUCAAAAAAGGAGCACAAUCAAAGCUCUGACAGACCGUGCACAAAGAAUCUGCGAACCUCACCUCCUCCAAGGUGAACUCAACCACCUAAACUGGGCUCUACAGGCCAAUGGAUACUCCACCACAGACAUCAGAAGAGCUGCAAGGCCAAGAACAAGCCAUGAGAGUCAAGACAAAGAUCCACCCAGAGGAAAGGUGUUCUUACCAUACAUCAAGGGAACUACUGACCGCAUAGGGAAGCUGAUGAAGAAGCACAACCUACAAACUAUCUACAGACCCACGAAGAAAAUCCAACAAAUGCUACGGUCAGCGAAGGACAAGAGGGAUCCUCUCUCUUCUGCAGGAGUCUACCGGAUACCAUGCAGCUGUGGACAAGUCUACAUAGGGACCACCAAACGCAGCGCCCAAACAAGAGUCAAAGAACAUGAAAGGCACUGCAGACUAAUUCAACCAGAGAAAUCAGCCAUAGCAGAGCAUUUGAUGAACCAGCCUGGACACAGAAUACUAUUUGAGAACACAAAAAUACUGGACCAUUCUAACAACUAUCAUGUCAGACUACACAGAGAAGCCAUUGAAAUCCACAAGCAUGUGGACAACUUCAACAGAAAGGAAGAAACCAUGAAAAUGAACAAAAUCUGGCUACCAGUAUUACAAAACUCCAAAAUCAAAACAGUAGAUGGGAACCAACACAAUGAGGACUUGACUGAACAAAGGAUGCCCCCAGGCAAGGGACAAAACAUUUCCAGUGCCAAUUAG